This 253-nucleotide ribosomal RNA is filed under the name uncultured bacterium. RNAcentral's name for it is "partial 16S ribosomal RNA". It matches the Rfam family "Bacterial small subunit ribosomal RNA", at positions 524 to 776 of the family's 1533-position model. The record is from RNAcentral.
UACGAAGGGAGCUAGCGUUGUUCGGAAUCACUGGGCGUAAAGCGCACGUAGGCGGAUGUGUCAGUCAGGGGUGAAAUCCCGGAGCUCAACUUCGGAACUGCCUUUGAUACAGCACGUCUUGAGUCCGGAAGAGGUGGGUGGAAUUCCUAGUGUAGAGGUGAAAUUCGUAGAUAUCGGGAGGAACACCAGUGGCGAAGGCGACUACCUGGCCUGUUCUUGACGCUGAGGCGCGAAAGCUAGGGGAGCAAACGGG